UACGGAGGGUGCAAGCGUUGUUCGGAAUCACUGGGCGUAAAGCGCGUGUAGGCGGCCUCCUAAGUCUGGUGUGAAAGCCCGGGGCUUACCCCCGGAAGUGCACUGGAUACUGGGAGACUAGAGUACCGGAGAGGAGGGUGGAAUUCCUGGUGUAGCGGUGAAAUGCGUAGAUAUCAGGAAGAACACCGGUGGCGAAGGCGGCCCUCUGGACGGAUACUGACGCUGAGACGCGAAAGCGUGGGGAGCGAACAGG
This 253-nucleotide ribosomal RNA is filed under the name uncultured bacterium. Its description in RNAcentral is "partial 16S ribosomal RNA". It matches the Rfam family "Bacterial small subunit ribosomal RNA", at positions 524 to 776 of the family's 1533-position model. The record is from RNAcentral.